GACGAACGCUGGCGGCGUGCUUAACACAUGCAAGUCGAACGAAAAGAGGGAAAGAGCUUGCUCUUUCCGGAAUUGAGUGGCAAACGGGUGAGUAACACGUAAACAACCUGCCUUCAGGAUGGGGACAACAGACGGAAACGACUGCUAAUACCGAAUAAGUUCCAAGGGCCGCAUGGCCCAUGGAAGAAAAGGUGGCCUCUACCUGUAAGCUAUCGCCUGAAGAGGGGUUUGCGUCUGAUUAGCUGGUUGGAGGGGUAACGGCCAACCAAGGCGACGAUCAGUAGCCGGUCUGAGAGGAUGAACGGCCACACUGGAACUGAGACACGGUCCAGACUCCUACGGGAGGCAGCAGUGGGGAAUCUUCCGCAAUGGGCGAAAGCCUGACGGAGCAACGCCGCGUGAGUGAUGACGGCCUUCGGGUUGUAAAACUCUGUGAUCCGGGACGAAAAGGCAGAGUGCGAAGAACAAACUGCAUUGACGGUACCGGAAAAGCAAGCCACGGCUAACUACGUG
This 513-nucleotide ribosomal RNA is filed under the name uncultured bacterium. RNAcentral's name for it is "partial 16S ribosomal RNA". It matches the Rfam family "Bacterial small subunit ribosomal RNA", at positions 28 to 507 of the family's 1533-position model. The record is from RNAcentral.